AGGCCCUUCGGGGUACACGAGCGGCGAACGGGUGAGUAACACGUGGGUGAUCUGCCUCGCACUCUGGGAUAAGCCUGGGAAACUGGGUCUAAUACCGGAUAUGACCUUACAUCGCAUGGUGUUUGGUGGAAAGAUUUAUCGGUGCGAGAUGGGCCCGCGGCCUAUCAGCUUGUUGGUGGGGUAAUGGCCUACCAAGGCGACGACGGGUAGCCGGCCUGAGAGGGCGACCGGCCACACUGGGACUGAGACACGGCCCAGACUCCUACGGGAGGCAGCAGUGGGGAAUAUUGCACAAUGGGCGAAAGCCUGAUGCAGCGACGCCGCGUGAGGGAUGACGGCCUUCGGGUUGUAAACCUCUUUCGACAGGGACGAAGCGCAAGUGACGGUACCUGUAGAAGAAGCACCGGCCAACUACGUGCCAGCAGCCGCGGUAAUACGUAGGGUGCGAGCGUUGUCCGGAAUUACUGGGCGUAAAGAGCUUGUAGGCGGCUUGUCGCGUCGAUCGUGAAAACUUGGGGCUCAACCCCAAGCUUGCGGUCGAUACGGGCAGGCUUGAGUACUUCAGGGGAGACUGGAAUUCCUGGUGUAGCGGUGAAAUGCGCAGAUAUCAGGAGGAACACCGGUGGCGAAGGCGGGUCUCUGGGAAGUAACUGACGCUGUUA
RNAcentral lists this ribosomal RNA (662 nucleotides) under Nocardia cyriacigeorgica. RNAcentral describes it as "bacterial SSU rRNA". It matches the Rfam family "Bacterial small subunit ribosomal RNA", at positions 72 to 751 of the family's 1533-position model. The record is from RNAcentral. Lineage: Bacteria; Bacillati; Actinomycetota; Actinomycetes; Mycobacteriales; Nocardiaceae.